Molecule: small RNA, 612 nt
Filed under: Histoplasma capsulatum
Lineage: Eukaryota; Fungi; Ascomycota; Eurotiomycetes; Onygenales; Ajellomycetaceae
Also listed under: 1 other name
Description: hypothetical RNA
Source: RNAcentral
CGGCAAAUUUGUACUCUACCUGUACAAGUACGCGUACCAACUCCCUCUGCUAGUAGAAGUGGGUAUCAAACCGAGAAUUUUUCCACUAAGCUAAAAGGGAACAUUUCAGGUUUCCUAUGAGCGUGCGCGCUUGGAUCCUGCUGGGGUGCGCCGUUCGACGGUUGGACCAAUGAUCAACCGCUAAAGUAUGUUCGGAGUGCAAAUUGCACAACUUGUUCCCUGAGUUAGUUCAGCCACGGCCCUGAUAACUUAGCCAUGACUCUCCAGAAUGGAGAGCGCUAUUUAAUUUUGCAUAUCGUUUCAAAAAAGAGCAAUAAAAUCGAUCGGGAUAUCCUUUUUUCGGGGCUAGGUUACCUACUCAAUUUGGUCACGGAGUAGCCAUUAUUAUUACAAGUGGACCUUUUGCGAGUCAUUGCGCCGAGACAUGCCCGCAGCCGUCCUCGUCGCGUUUACUGCUUUUUUUUUUAAAUACUUCCAGGAAUCAGACAUCCACCUGUUUACUCUGUAGUUAGAUUAUAGAUUGCUCGUUAUGUAGCUUCGAGAGUUGGUCUUUGGUUCACCACAUCCUCCUUUUGUCCUCUAUUAACAGAUGCUCUCCCAUUGAACACGGCA